This is a long non-coding RNA of Rosa rugosa (rugosa rose), 945 nucleotides long. RefSeq lists it as uncharacterized. Lineage: Eukaryota; Viridiplantae; Streptophyta; Magnoliopsida; Rosales; Rosaceae. The record is from RefSeq and is a predicted model, not a curated record. The transcript is spliced from 3 exons.
CUGCGUCUUCAAGUCAAAGAGGAGGAGGAGAAGGAGUCGUGAGCAUCAUCUUGCCUAGCCAUCAUCCACCCUUGUGCCGUAGCCUUGAGAAGACUUGCUUUCAAGAUCUUCAACUUCCAACGUCUCAAGUGUUCAUCAUUCAUCCUUCACGGUGGUUAAAUUGCAUGGCAAGAGGUAUCAUAUCACAUCCCAGCUCAUGACAAUGUGAAUAACAUUUUUACUCUUCUAAGAGGGCUGACUCACGUCCAGCACCUAACACUAUAUGACCGCACCCUUGGGGCAUGAGACUUAAAAAAUUUAAUCUCUGUUUGGUAUCUUUUUUAAGCUUAUACAUUAUUACUGUUACUAAUCUUAAUUAAUCUAUCAAGGUGGCUGGAUAUCUAUUUGACAACUAUGGUAAUGGGGAAAGUCUAGAUGAACCAGAAGUUUGGCCCUAUUUAGAGAAGCAGUACCCAUUUUUCCUUUGCUGAACAACAUUACCGUAUGCAUCUCACACAGGUUUGGCUGGAAAGUUCUACCGUAUUUACUGGACAAUACUCCAGCAGUGGAGGUCCUUGCAAUAGAAAUGGUGAUAAGGGACACGUUGCUGAGGGUGACAGGUAUGCUUGGGAUCCACCAAUCCAGAGGCCUGGAUGUUUGACUCACAGCAUUCAAGAAGUGCAGCUUUGGGGGUUUCAUGGGAACGAUGAGUUAUUGGCAGUGGUUGAGUACUUUCAGCAGAUUUUAGCUACAAUCAGGGAGUUUGACAUCAUCAUCACCUGAAGAUGAAGGGCCGAUGACUAGGCUGUAACUCAACAUUUAGUUUCUUAUUCCUGUUCUGUUCUGUUAUGUGGAAACCUAUCAACAUAUUGCUGGUUAUUCUAAGUAGGUUAAGUUUGUCUGUUUGGGAUGUUAUACUUGAAUAUUCUUGCUUGUUUGUUUAACGACAUUUUGGAAAAAUUGAUG